GGACUACCCGGGUAUCUAAUCCCGUUCGCUCCCCUGGCUUUCGUCCCUCAGCGUCAGUUGCCUCCCAGGACACUGCCUGCGCCAUUGGUAUUCCUCCGGAUCUCUACGCAUUUCACCACUCCACCCGGAAUUCUAUGUCCCUCUGAGGCCCUCGAGUCCUGCCGUCUUCCCGGCACUCCCUCAGUUAAGCCGAGGGCUGGCACCGGAAACGCGCAGAACCGCCUGCGGACGCUUUACGCCCAGUAACUCCGGACAACGCUCGCCCCCUACGUAUUACCGCGGCGGCUGGCAC
RNAcentral lists this ribosomal RNA (292 nucleotides) under uncultured bacterium. RNAcentral describes it as "partial 16S ribosomal RNA". The record is from RNAcentral.